Molecule: long non-coding RNA, 674 nt
Organism: Lutra lutra (Eurasian river otter)
Lineage: Eukaryota; Metazoa; Chordata; Mammalia; Carnivora; Mustelidae
Exons: 4
Source: RefSeq, a predicted model, not a curated record
GCCUCCCAGGUGAACAUCCUGUCCCUUUGUUCACAGCGGCCAACUCGAGCCCCCGCUCCUGCAGCCUGGCCUGGCUGGUGUCCUAGGCACACAGUCAAUGUUUACCAAAACCAGGGAGCAGAUUAUCAGCAGCCUCAGAGUGCUGAAGGCAGAUCCCAGAUGCCUGGCUCCGCCUCCAAGCUGACACCUGCUGCUGUUUCAGCCUCAUCGCAAGCUUCAUGGAGCUAAAAUCAGGUGAAACCACUAUCAUCACGUCAGUGGCUCCAGCAUUGCGUAAGCCGGGGGCGAGGUUACUCAAGAUUAAACACUGAUGCCUUCCAGACUGAACCUGUGUCCUCAUCAUCCAAAGUCCCCAAGCUUUGAAACAUCAUCCACCCUUCAGAGUUAAUGAAAGUCAAUUUAGGGGAAAAAAGAGAAGAUACACCUAAUUAAAAGUAGAAAAAAACAAGGAGAAAAAAAUAAAAUACAGAAGACAAACCCACCCAGGAUCCUUCCUCCACAGACUAUAAACAACCACCAUGACUAAUCUGGGCAUAACCACUGAUCUACACAUUGAUACAUACAUAGGUAUGGAGACGGGUAUAGAUGGUUAUGAGUAUAGAUACACUUACCUGUAACAACUUCUUAGACGUGUGCUUUGUAAACACUUUUCAUAGUAAUAAACACCUAUGUUC